Molecule: ribosomal RNA, 526 nt
Filed under: bacterium 'H. scabra 55 (S-F-H)'
Lineage: Bacteria
Description: bacterial SSU rRNA
Rfam family: Bacterial small subunit ribosomal RNA
Source: RNAcentral
GGAAUAUUGCACAAUGGGCGCAAGCCUGAUGCAGCCAUGCCGCGUGUGUGAAGAAGGCCUUCGGGUUGUAAAGCACUUUCAGUCGUGAGGAAGGUNGUGUCGUUAAUAGCNGCAUUAUUUGACGUUAGCGACAGAAGAAGCACCGGCUAACUCCGUGCCAGCAGCCGCGGUAAUACGGAGGGUGCGAGCGUUAAUCGGAAUUACUGGGCGUAAAGCGCAUGCAGGUGGUUUGUUAAGUCAGAUGUGAAAGCCCGGGGCUCAACCUCGGAAUAGCAUUUGAAACUGGCAGACUAGAGUACUGUAGAGGGGGGUAGAAUUUCAGGUGUAGCGGUGAAAUGCGUAGAGAUCUGAAGGAAUACCGGUGGCGAAGGCGGCCCCCUGGACAGAUACUGACACUCAGAUGCGAAAGCGUGGGGAGCAAACAGGAUUAGAUACCCUGGUAGUCCACGCCGUAAACGAUGUCUACUUGGAGGUUGUGGCCUUGAGCCGUGGCUUUCGGAGCUAACGCGUUAAGUAGACCGCCUGG